UACGUAGGGUCCGAGCGUUGUCCGGAAUUAUUGGGCGUAAAGGGCUCGUAGGCGGUUUGUCGCGUCGGGGGUGAAAACUCAGGGCUCAACCCUGAGCGUGCUUCCGAUACGGGCAGACUAGAGGUAUGCAGGGGAGAACGGAAUUCCUGGUGUAGCGGUGGAAUGCGCAGAUAUCAGGAGGAACACCGGUGGCGAAGGCGGUUCUCUGGGCAUUACCUGACGCUGAGGAGCGAAAGCAUGGGGAGCGAACAGG
This 253-nucleotide ribosomal RNA is filed under the name uncultured bacterium. Its description in RNAcentral is "partial 16S ribosomal RNA". It matches the Rfam family "Bacterial small subunit ribosomal RNA", at positions 524 to 776 of the family's 1533-position model. The record is from RNAcentral.